RNAcentral lists this ribosomal RNA (460 nucleotides) under uncultured bacterium. Its description in RNAcentral is "partial 16S ribosomal RNA". It matches the Rfam family "Bacterial small subunit ribosomal RNA", at positions 338 to 795 of the family's 1533-position model. The record is from RNAcentral.
CCUACGGGAGGCAGCAGUGAGGAAUAUUGGUCAAUGGCCGGAAGGCUGAACCAGCCAUGCCGCGUGAAGGUCAGUGCCCUAUGGGCGUUAAACUUCUUUUGUGCGGGAGCAAUAAUGGUCACGUGUGGCCAGACGAGAGUACCGUACGAAUAAGCAUCGGCUAACUCCGUGCCAGCAGCCGCGGUAAUACGGGGGAUGCAAGCGUUAUCCGGAUUUUUUGGGUUUAAAGGGUGCGUAGGCUGUGAGGUAAGUCAGCGGUGAAAUGCCCCGGCUCAACGGGGUGGAGUGCCAUUGAUACUGCCUUGCUGGAGUGCGGAUGCCGUAGGAGGAAUGAGUAGUGUAGCGGUGAAAUGCAUAGAUAUCACACAGAACACCGAUUGCGAAGGCAUCUCACGAAUCCGCGAUUGACGCUGAUGCACGAAAGCGUGGGUAUCAAACAGGAUUAGAUACCCCUGUAGUC